CCGCCGGCGACCGGCGCACGGGUGAGUAACACGUAUGCAACCUGGCCGUGACAGAUGGAUAACCGGGAGAAAUCCCGCCUAAUACAACAUAAUGCCGGGAGGGGACAUUCCCUGCCGGUCAAAGGGGGCGACCCCGGUCAUGGAUGGGCAUGCGGCGCAUUAGGUAGUUGGUGGGGCAACGGCCCACCAAGCCGACGAUGCGUAGGGGUUCUGAGAGGAAGGUCCCCCACAUUGGAACUGGGACACGGUCCAAACUCCUACGGAAGGCAGCAG
This 273-nucleotide ribosomal RNA is filed under the name uncultured bacterium. RNAcentral describes it as "partial 16S ribosomal RNA". It matches the Rfam family "Bacterial small subunit ribosomal RNA", at positions 85 to 354 of the family's 1533-position model. The record is from RNAcentral.